Molecule: long non-coding RNA, 227 nt
Filed under: Carica papaya (papaya)
Lineage: Eukaryota; Viridiplantae; Streptophyta; Magnoliopsida; Brassicales; Caricaceae
Description: long non-coding RNA (CPAP_LNC016050)
Source: RNAcentral
GGAGAAAAUUUCAAAUGAUGUAAAUACAAAUACAGUUCCAAACCUAGAAAGUUUCAGCGGACCAGUAACAAGAUCAAAGGCAAAGAAGCUUAAAGAGUUGCUCCAAAGUUUUUACUCAAAAACAUGUGGAUGAUGGGCUGGCCAAUUGUGGAAAGUUCAAAUAUGAGCUUUUUGAACAGCCCAAAUUCGUAACUUUACUUGGAUUUAAGUGAUUUGGGAUAAUUUGG